AUCCCACAGUUUUGCCCCAGGAAGGAACAAUGUGACCUGAUCUGGCUUCUCUAACUGUGGAGAUUAAUCCAAUGAUUAAAGCUAUACCUGAUCAUUGAUUUAGUGGAUGACCUGGUACGCAAAUCAUUGAACAUUUUU
Molecule: small nucleolar RNA, 138 nt
Filed under: Bombyx mori (domestic silkworm)
Lineage: Eukaryota; Metazoa; Arthropoda; Insecta; Lepidoptera; Bombycidae
Description: Bm_81
Source: RNAcentral